CCCUUGCUCGCUGCUGCUGCCACGUAAGAAGUGUGUUGCUUCCCCUUCGUCUUCCACCAUGAAUAACAGAAUGGCAAUUUUCGUGUGGUGUUAAUUUCCGUGGAAGAAGAAAAGGCUCGACUCUCUGUCCUAUUUUUCAUGAAUACUGGAAGUAGGGAAUAAACCUGGAGUCUCACGGGUGAAAAGAGACAUUUCCAUAUCACCAGACCACAAACGUGGAUGGAGUUUCACUCUUAUGGCCCAGGCUGGAGUGCAAUGGCGUGAUCUCAGCUCACCACAACCUCUGCCUCCCGGGUUCAAGUGGUUCUCCUACCUCAGCCUCCUGAGUAGCUGCGAUUACAGAUACAUAGCUCUGGCCAAGAAGUGUGGUUUUGAAGAGCCCAAACUGUAUCUGUUACCUGAUUUCAAAGAAUAUUCCACCUAGGAGAGACCCAGGUCCUGCAGACUUCCUCUGGACACUUUUGGCAGUCAUUGUUCCCAGCUGAUUCUGCAACAGAUGAAGGACGGAGGAUAGAAUCAUGAAUAGCAACAUCUUAAUUGCUGACUGGGUGUUGAUUCUAAGGAUACCCCCAAUAAACAUCUUUCGUGCUAAAGCCCAUUCCAGAAUUUACUUCCCAGCUAUCUUUGAUGUUCAUAUUGUCAGAGGUGGUGGCCGCUGAAACAGGCAAAGACAUGGAGCAUAUCUUGGGUCCAGGUAAAGGAGGUGGGUGCACACAAGUGAAAAGAUGUUGCUGAAGUCACGUGGCUUCAAGCAGUAGAGCUGACUGUCCUCUAGUCCAGUUGUCCCUACAGGAUAAAAGCUUCUCUCCAUUACAGAGACCUUGGGAGUCCAGAGGAAGGUCUUUUUACCAUCAGCAUUCUCUACUGUGUUCAAUGACUGUCAGCCAAAGAUGGCCAGCUUUCCUUCAGAAAGAAAUGCAUUCAAAGAACCUACAUUCACAACAUAAAGAAAUAAAGCACACACAAGACCGCCAAGCAUUAAGAUUCUCCUGUGGAGCCAGGCUACAAUCCUUUAAAUGAAGACAGACAGCUAGGUGGCUGCAGCCCAGCGCUACACCUCACCCCUCCCUCAGUGUCAUGCAGAAAAAAUGUAUUCAGAACUCAGAAGUGAAGUUGUGCAAAUCCAUCAUUGACACUAGCUUCAAGGUUACCUCGGGGGAGCAGAAUGUACCCCUGCCAGAGAGCUGGAUAGAUGAUGAUGGGGACAGAAAUUCUGGGGGAGUUGUAAAUGGCAGCCACUGCCUCUAUAGGAAACCCAAAGGGAACACAGCAGAAGAGGAGGUGGUGGAGGAGCCACUGCCCUCUCGAAGGGUUCAAUGUCAUUCUGCAGACACAACCAAAUAACUUUUUCUUCCCUGCUGCUCCUCCAUUUGAAAUGACAGCCCCGAGCUCGCUUUUUCCUUGAUUGUGUAACUCUGAUUACAGACAAGGCCAAGGCAAUCCCAGGGCAUUACUACAAAGCUAAGGGGUCCCCAAAGAACUAAAGAGUCAGCUCCACAAAAAUCCCGAUUCCUAGCAUGAAACUGAAAUAUGAAACCAAACGGGCAUAGAAAAGGUAUGUGCAUUCGAAUCACAUAGCAGUGACUGGAGUCCUGAGCUGUGUCUGAAGACUGUGAGAUCACGUUUGGAGCUGCUGAUUGGUUUUCAGUGAUGGCCCUGUUGCACAGUGCCGUGAGACUUAGCUCCAUGGCCAAAGACGAUGGUAUCCCCUAGGAGCCCUGUGAGGUUGCUGCUGUUCUCUUAAGACACCAGGUAGCCAUCUGAUCCUCCCUGAGCAAACUAACUGGGCAGACAGGUUUAUUAAACCUCUGUUGGUCCGACUUACAUGAAACAAGAGAGUUAUUUUGUUGUUGUUGUUUUGUUUUGUUUUAAAUUAAACCUGUCUUUGGAGCCUCCUGCUCUUAGUUUACAAGUCUUCUUUGCACACUCUAAUAUUUUAAGAAGCAGCAAACAUUAACUGAGGGUCUA
Molecule: long non-coding RNA, 1968 nt
Filed under: Homo sapiens (human)
Lineage: Eukaryota; Metazoa; Chordata; Mammalia; Primates; Hominidae
Description: HSALNT0232329
Source: RNAcentral